Molecule: ribosomal RNA, 436 nt
Filed under: uncultured Oscillospiraceae bacterium
Lineage: Bacteria; Bacillati; Bacillota; Clostridia; Eubacteriales; Oscillospiraceae
Description: bacterial SSU rRNA
Rfam family: Bacterial small subunit ribosomal RNA
Source: RNAcentral
ACGGGAGGCAGCAGUGGGGAAUAUUGGGCAAUGGGCGCAAGCCUGACCCAGCAACGCCGCGUGAAGGAAGAAGGCUUUCGGGUUGUAAACUUCUUUUGCAAGGGACGAGACGAAGACGGUACCUUGUGAAUAAGCCACGGCUAACUACGUGCCAGCAGCCGCGGUAAUACGUAGGUGGCAAGCGUUGUCCGGAUUUACUGGGUGUAAAGGGAGCGCAGGCGGGAAAUCAAGUUGGAUGUGAAAUGUCGGGGCUUAACCCCGGAACUGCAUCCAAAACUGAUUUUCUUGAGUGAAGUAGAGGUAGGCGGAAUUCCGAGUGUAGCGGUGAAAUGCGUAGAUAUUCGGAGGAACACCAGUGGCGAAGGCGGCCUACUGGGCUUUAACUGACGCUGAGGCUCGAAAGUGUGGGGAGCAAACAGGAUUAGAUACCCUGGUA